RNAcentral lists this long non-coding RNA (1233 nucleotides) under Marmota monax (woodchuck). Lineage: Eukaryota; Metazoa; Chordata; Mammalia; Rodentia; Sciuridae. The record is from RNAcentral.
GUCAUGGUAUCUGUGUUCUACUAAUCCUUAUUUUACUUAAUAAUGCUCCCAAAGCACAAAAAUAGUAAUAUUGGCAAUUUGAACAUACCUAAGAGAAGCCAUAAAGGCUGUAUUUUAAGUAAAAAGAUCAAACUUUACCAGUGGUUGCAAGUAUGUAUAGAAAAAACCUAGUAUAUAUAGGGUUUAGUAUUAUCCAUAGUUGCAGACAUCCACUGGGGACUUGGAAUAUAUCCUCCAUGGAUAGCAGGAGUCUUCCAAGCUAUUUAAAAACUGGCUUUUAUUCUGAAUGCAACAGAAAGAGAGAUGUGGCAGCAUUGAACUUUAAUGGCUGAAUAAUUGACUUCCAUACUGAGAAUACACUGUUAGGGGACCAGGAUAAAAGCAGGAAGACUUGUCAGGAAAAUCUUGUAGAAAUCAACUUGAAAGAGGAUGGCUUAGGCCUGAUGAUAACAGUGGAGGUGUGGGCAACAUAGAUAUUUUAGAGGUUGAACCAACAGUAUUUCAUAUGAGAUUGGAUAUAGAGUCUUGGGAAAAGAAAGGUCUACAAUAAUUUUAAGCAUUUUCUUUUGAGCUGUAGAAAGAACAUAAUUGUAAUUCACUGAUAUGAGCAAAGAUAUGGGUGUAUAAAUUCCAUUUAUGUGACUAAUUCCUGAAAUUUCCCAAUUAGACUUUUCAUUCCUUUAAAGAAAAAAGUGAGGUGUCUACUUGAAAUAUUCUCAGGUAGAGGCAUAUCCUUUGACCUUAAGUAUUUAUAUCUUAUACUUAAGCAGAUUGAGAAUACAGGAAAGUGAGGGGAACUACAAAUGUCUGAAUAUCAUGCUGAGCAAAAUAAGCCAAUCCCAGAAAACCAGAGACUGAAUGUUUUCUUUAAUAUGAGGAUGCUAAUUCACAAUAAGCGGGGAGGGGCACUAGAGAAAAAUAGAGUUACCUUAGAUUAGGUAGAGGGAAGUGAAGAGAGGGGAAGGGAGGGAUAGGAAAAAUAGUAGAAUGAACAGACAUUAUUACUUUAUGUAUGUAUGUGACUGCAUGACCAAUGUGAUUCUACAAUAUGUACACCCAGAAAAAUGAGAAAUUAUAUCCCAUCUAUAUAUGAUAUAUCAAAGUGCAUAAAUGCAUUCAAAUGUCAUGUGUACCUAAUUAAAACAAAUAAAAAAUUAAUUUAAAAAAUUCAUCCUUUAUACAUACAGGCAAUAGGUCACCAGCUUUGCUUAGGAUAUGUUAAAGGACUGCUCA